Equus asinus (donkey) is the source of this 3044-nucleotide long non-coding RNA. The record is from Ensembl. NCBI's taxonomy places the organism in Eukaryota, Metazoa, Chordata, Mammalia, Perissodactyla, Equidae.
AGUCUGUUCCUCAUAAAAACAGCAUCUCUGGGGCCAGCAGGCCAGCUUGGAUUCAGGACCAUGUCCCUGGUGCUUCCCUCCAUGCUCUGUCUUGGAGAGUCUGAGAGAGAAGGGCCCAGCUACAAAUACAGGCUCCAGGUGGCAGGUCCAUCGGUUCUAGGAGGCUGGGGUGUCUCACCCACUGUUUCCUUCCAGGGAUGUGUCUAGGCCAGAGCACUCAGGCGCAGAAGGGAAAUCUCCCACGACCUCUUCUCAUGGCUCUACCAGGAUCUACGGUUCCACCUGGGAAUCCAGUGAUGAUCCUGUGCAGAGGGCCUCAGAAGCUGAAGCAUAUGCGCUAUCUAGAGUGAGAAGCCCUGAGCCCUCAGAUAGAGAGAAGCAACUGCUGUCUAAGACGUCCAACACUUAGAGUAUCUCAGAGAUGACGCCAUACUGGGCAGGGUUGUACCACUGUUCCUAUCAAAGUGUAGGCAGCUGGUCCCAGUUCAGUGACCCCCUGCAACCAGUGAUGACUAGUGAGUAGGACACAAGGGCAGCACAACCAGGACUGACCUCUUUGCAGAGGGAAGAACCAGACGUUGCAGAUAUGAAGCACAGAGGACCAAAACCUCUAUCCUUAGAAAGGGUUAGGGAUGAUGCAGACACAGAUUCCUCACAGCAGGACAAGGAGGGGAUAGAAACCAGAGCCAUGUCUACUCUGGGGGAACAAAAAGGGACAAUGCAUACAUGUGGCCCAGCCCUUUAUCUACAAGCUUCCUUCUUUCUCAGGAGCUUAUGAGAAACCCUUCCUCUCAAGCAUGACUGGUAUCAUGGUGCCUUCAGGGAAGAAUGAGAAGUUGCGGUGUUUCUCAACACUCAAGUUUGAUGCAUCUAUUCUUAUGAAGAAAGAUGGAGUUCACACCAUCCAGAACCAAAUCUCCACCUCUGAGGGUGGUGGACACCAGGCUGUGUUCCUCUUGAAUCAUGUCUCCUCCACACAAACUGGGACCUACAGAUGCUAUGGUGUCUUCGGUCAUUACCCUUAUGUGUGGUCUCACCCCAGUGACCGAUUGCAGCUUUGGGUCACAGCCCCAUAUGCAGAAGCUUCUGACCAUCCUGUUCCCACAAGCCCCAGACCUUCACCUGAUUCCCUGAUGGGAUCACCACUGUGGCCACAAUCAAAGGAGGAAUGAAAGAACCUGCUGCCUGGCAUCUUUCUGCAGAGAAUCAAGUCCGGCUGAGCAUGGCUGGCCUGAUUCUCUUGGUCCUGGGGGUGCUCUUGGCUGAGGCCUGGUACAGCCGGAAGAUGCCCUUAAAUGGACACAGACAAGCCCCCACCUGAGUGUAAUGACAGCACCGAUGUCCUUCUAUUGGCAUCUAAUGACUGUGUGGACCCUGGGGGAGCAGCCAGAGGAGAUAGUGCCCUGGCCAUGUCACCUACUGAGAUAUCGGAGAAGACUUGUUUCUUGUUGAAUCUGUAACAACCUACCCCAGACACUUCGGUUUAAAGCAACACCAAUUCAUUCUCUUUUCAUUCUAGGGAGCAGGAGUCUAAAAAGUGUCUGCAGGCCUGCAUUCCUCUUUUAGCGUCUGGUCUGUGUUCCUGCCUUUUCUGUUUCUGGGCUCCGCCUGCAUUCCUUGCCUUCUGGAUCCCUCCUCCAUCUCCAAACCCACCAGUGUAGCAUCUUCUCUCCUCUCUGACCUCUGCUUCCUUCCCGCCUUCUUCUCUCUCUUGCUCCCACCCUCCUGCUUCCCUCUUAUAAGGACCCUUGUGGUGACAUUGGGCCUAAGAAGAUAAUCCAGGAUAAUCUCUCAGUUUCCAGAGUCUCGUCUUCCUCACAUCACAAUGUCCCUUAGCCGUGUCAGGUCCCACUCACAGUUCUGGGAAUUAGACGAGCACAACUUGAGGGGGACCAUUCAGCCGACCUCCAGUAGCUCAGUACAUCUGACCAUAGCGCAGGGCUGUGCUUGCACUUGUGCACUAACUCCUGGGGGAGACGUGGGGAUUGAAUAUUUAAUACUCUUUAGAAUUUAAAACAGGACAUGAUCUAAAUAGAGAGGGAGAGAUGCUUAACGAAUCCUGCUUCUGUAUGUCACAAUGUGUAAGUUCCUGACUUAUUGUACUUGAGGGGAGAAAACUUGGUCUAGGAAUAGAAAUGCUGAUUUUUUCAAUAGCGUCCUUUACUUUUACUUUAAAGGAUAUACAAAGCAAAUGUAAAAGUAUGAACGUUUAUGUUGGUGUGUUUGUUUCACGAUUUAAGUAACACCGAUGUUUGUGAUGUUAGCCAUUGUUCCAGUUUGGGGUUUAUUUUUGUUUUUUCUGAAAAGGAACAUCUUUUUUUUUUCUGUUUUUUUGAGGAAGAUUAGCCCUGAGCUAACUACUGCCAGUCCUCCUCUUUUUGCUGAGGAAGCCUUGCCCUGAGCUAACAUCCGUGCCCAUCUUCCUCUACUUUAUAUGUGGGAAGCCUGCCACAGCAUGGCGUGCCAAGCUGUGCCAUGUCCGCACCCUGGAUCCAAACCAGCGAACUCUGGGCCGCCGAGAAGAGGAACGUGCGUACUUAACCACUGCACCACCGGGCCAGCCCCUGAAAAGGAACGUCCUUAAAAGCAUGACACUAAAACAACAGACUCAACAGAAUGGUUAAAUCUGACUCCUGUUAUAGUUGAGUGGAUGAAAUCAUUCUGGAACUUCUUAGCUCCAAUCUACUGAAGUAAAGAAUAAAUAUCCUCACACUUAAACCAGGUGGACACUGUGCUCUGUAGAGACAUGGAGAUACUAAGUUCCAUCACUUGCCCUUUGGUCUCAUCUCUGCCCUGUGAUUAGAUUCUCGAAGAGCUCUCUGCUACCGGCUGCUGUUCCCUUACUAAAUUUCUCUUCUUUGGGAGUCAUCUCAUCUUCUUUGCAACCACUCAGUUCUGCUGUUGUCACACAAAACUACUUCAGGUGACACAUAGCCACAAAGGCAUGGCUGUGUUCCAAUAAAAUUUGUUUACACACACUGAACUUGAAUUUCAGAUCAUCUCCAUGGGCCAAAAAAUAUUAAUUUUUUUUAUUUUUUCAAGCA